CCGCCUGCAUUACAUAUCCCGUGAGGAUAA
RNAcentral lists this non-coding RNA (30 nucleotides) under Rattus norvegicus (Norway rat). Lineage: Eukaryota; Metazoa; Chordata; Mammalia; Rodentia; Muridae. The record is from RNAcentral.